UAGGAUUAAGCAUACUACAGAGAGACAUAGCAAACCAUAUGCGAAUACAUGAUUUAUGGCGUUUCACAGAAGUAGUAUGAUUCAUUCAUUGAGAUAUUACCACUGUACAUAGAACCAAAAUCAUGAGUAUUCUGCCCUUAACAACUAGAUAUUGAAGUAGAAGAAGAAUGAAAAUAGAGAACUUAGCUUAAGAAAUAGGGCCGACUGCCCUGCUCUGAAUCGGGAUUGAACGGCGCCGAGGAGUAGGCGAGGCGACACCCUUCGCCGGGAACAGCGACAGCAACGGCGAAGCCGGCCUUCCAGUAGCAGCAGCGGCAUCGGGGCUCGGCGGAAAUCAGGUGACAGCAGCGGCCAUUCGCGAGCUUCCCAGAGACAACAACAGCAGGCGGCGUACCUCCUCUUCCAGAACCCAGCAGCGGCAGAGCACGGCUCGAACCCACCAACUUCGGAGAUAGCAACACGGCGGACCCUGCUCGCCGGAAUCGCACAGCAGCAGCGGUGGUACUCGCCGGUUCCGCGGAGGUGGCAGAUCGAAGCGGCGGCGGCGCUCUCUGAUUUGGGGAGGAAUUAGGGCUCGCCCUUCUCGCCUUGGACGAACUGUCAGCAAGAGGGGUUUUAGAGAAAGGAGGCGGCGCGGNUUCACAGAAGUAGUAUGAUUCAUUCAUUGAGAUAUUACCACUGUACAUAGAACCAAAAUCAUGAGUAUUCUGCCCUUUAACAACUAGAUAUUGAAGUAGAAGAAGAAAUGAAAAUAGAGAACUUAGCUUAAGAAAUAGGGCCGACCUGCCCUGCUCUGAAUCGGGAUUGAACGGCGCCGAGGAGUAGGCGAGGCGACUGCCUUGUCGGAAUCUGAGUUACAGUAACGGCGAAGCCGGCCUUCCAGUAGCAGCAGCGGCAUCGGGGCUCGGCGGAAAUCAGGUGACAGCAGCGGCCAUUCGCGAGCUUCCCAGAG
Molecule: long non-coding RNA, 952 nt
Filed under: Salvia miltiorrhiza (redroot sage)
Lineage: Eukaryota; Viridiplantae; Streptophyta; Magnoliopsida; Lamiales; Lamiaceae
Description: long non-coding RNA (SMIL_LNC000755)
Source: RNAcentral